Molecule: long non-coding RNA, 267 nt
Filed under: Vigna radiata
Lineage: Eukaryota; Viridiplantae; Streptophyta; Magnoliopsida; Fabales; Fabaceae
Description: long non-coding RNA (VRAD_LNC008707)
Source: RNAcentral
UGGGGACUUGUGGUUUAACUAUUCUAGUAGUGUGAUUAUUGAUUAACUUUGACUUGAUUUUUUUUUAUUUUUUAUUUAUUUUGUUCUAACAAAAGCUUUCUAGGGUUUUGUUUUCUUGUGUAUGCAAGAUACAAUUCGGACUAAGAGCAAGAAAAUAUCAAAACCUCUUCUUGAAGGUUUAAGUUAAACUCAAAGCAGAAGGAGGAUUCGAACAUCUAGAGAAUUGUUUCCUUCUCCUGAGAGAUUGGUACAACCUUCACCACAAGC